AAAAAAAAAAAGUAGAUAUACAAACAAAUAAGAAAAAUUAUAUGCAUCAUUAUAAGAACAUGAAUCAGAUCACCGGAAAAUUAAAAUUUAAACCAGUUGAGCUUAUUAAUAAUGAAAAUAGGGGUGUAAAUUUUGUGAGCAAAAAUAAAAUCAAUAUAAAUGGAAUGGGGAAAAACACAACAAACACAUAUACUAUGCAAUCAGCACAUAAAGGCACAUUAAUAAAAAGUGCAAAUAUUAAACCACGAAUAAAUAAUAACAACGUUUUAAAACACCCGCCCCCUAAAUAUAAUAUCAAAAAGAAUCAAAAUGGGAUUAACAAAAAGUUGAAUGCUGAAUAUAAUAAAAAACCAAACAAUGAAUUAAACAAUAUAGGGAACAGGGUUUCAGUUUAUAACGCACGAGUUUCAAUGAACUACGAUUUUAAAAAUCCGUAUAUGAGUAAAACAAUGGUAGAUGAUAAUACGGAAAAUAAAAAUAACGAUCAAAAAAAUACUAAGGAAUAUAUUAAUGAUGAUAAUAUUAUAAUGAAUACUAGUAAUGUUGUAAAUAACACUAAUAACAAUGACAGCUCUGGACUGUAUAACUCAUCCUAUAAUAAUAAUGCACAUGAUGAAUUGCAAAAUAAUAACAAUAAUAGUAAUAAUAACAUAAAUGACAUGAAUGAUAUAAUGAACAAUUACACUUCCCCAAUAAAAAGAAAAUAUGAAGCAAUUGAAAAUAUAAAUAAAAACAAAGAAACUGAGAAUAAAGAUAUGAAAAUUUUUAAUAAAAAAAAUUGCUCCCAUGAAUUAUAAUUUUAAUAAUAAUUUAGAUUAUCAUAAAAAUUUUUCCAAUUUAAAUCAUACUUUAAACAACACUCAUGAAGAUUAUAACAACAAUUUAUAUAUGAGUGAAAGGAUAUAUAACAAUACUAACAAUAAUAAUAAUUUAAUUAAUAAAAGUGUAAAUAUAAAUAGAUUUUUACCUACUAACUAUGAAGAUACAAAAUUAAACAAGUAUAACAUAAACCGUAAAACAGUUCAGGUUGAAACAAAGUCAGGAAUGACAUUUAACGGAAAUAUAGCUGCCAGUAUGAACGCUAAUCGAAUUAAUAAAAGUAACAACAAUAUUGGCUAUAACAAAAUCAGAAAUAAUAACAACAUUAGUAAUAGCACACUUAAUUCUAAUCCACUUGAAAGAAAUUACAAUAAUUAUGACAAAAUAAAAAAAAAAGACGCUUUUUUAAAUGAUUAUAAUUACGAAGCGAAUUAUAAUUAUUAUCAAUCUGAAAAUGUUAACCCCUUAGAUUUAGAAAUUUUUAAGAAUAAAAAUGGAAAUAUAAACAACAAUAUAAAUAGCAAUAUAAAUGGAAACAAAAUUGACGUUUCUAAUUCCGACAUGAAUGCAAGCAAUUAUUUGAAUGAUAGUGUCGUAAAAAAUUAUAAAAAUGAGAACUUUAAUAACUCUUUAUAUGACCUUAACAACUCUUUUAUAAAAAUGAAUCAAUUUCAAAAACAAACAAAUCACUUAACUGAUACUAACAGUGAUAAAAUAUUGAAUGGUUCAAAUAAUCAUAAUGAUUUUACAAAUUCUUGUUCAUUUGAUAGAAUGAGUGAAGAGAAUUUUAAUUAUUAUUUGAAAAGAAAAUCUCAAAAUAAAAUUGGUGCUAUCAAUAAAAAUAGAAACAUGACAAAAGAAGUAGCACUAUCAUACAAUAUUGCUAAUAAUGACCCAAUUGAUAAUAAUAUUGAGAAUAGUAAUACUACAAGUAAUAUCAGUGGACAUAGGAAUAUAACACCUAGUCGAGCUUCAAUAAAAAUUAAUAGUUUACAAGUAAGUCAAGAAGAAGAUCAUCAAAUAAAUAAUAUGUUAAAUAAUUCUAAAAAUUUAAUCAAAAACAGAUUAAUCGAGUCGAAUAACAAUGAUUUACAAGUAUUAUCAACAUCUUUUCCAUUUUUAAAUUCUAAAAAUAUAUUUAGUAACCAUAGCGAUAACACAAAAAACAGUACUAAAUAUAUGAAUAAUGCAAACAAUGCAAACAAUACAAACAAUNNNNNNNNNNCAAACAAUGCACACAAUGUGAAUGGAGUAGAUAAUUACCAAGACAAUGUAUCAAUACCUUACUUUAAUAAAGCCAACGAAAUGAAUAACAUAUUAAAAAAUACGAAACCAAAUGAAUAUCGAAAUAAAGGUUUAUUGAAAAAAUAUAACAUGGAUUCUUAUUUAAACAAUGAUAAUGAUUAUCAUUAUUUUAAAAAUAUAAUUCAUAAUAUAACAAAAUUUAAUGGAGAAGAAAGUGACAUUAAUACAUUAUAUAAAAAUGUAAUGAAUUUAAAUGAUUAUUCAUUAAACUUUAAUGUUGAAAAUGAUGGUAUAGAUGAAAUAAUAAAUAUAUACGAUAAUGUUAAUAAUAACAUAAGAGAUAUACAGAAAGCUAUUUUUCAAAAAAAAAAAGUAGUACAAGAUAAACGAAAUUUAAUUAAUGAAGAAUAUGAAAUUAUAUGUCAAAAACUGAAAGAAUGUGAGGAUGUUUUUGUUGAUGGUGAUGAUGAAGGUGGGGAAAAGAAAUUAAAAAUAUUUUAUGAAGUUAAUGAUAAAAAAAAUAAUCUUCGGAAAAAAUAUGAAGAAAAUAAAAUGAAACUAAAAAAAACUCAAUACAAAAUUGAGAAACUACAAAAAUAUUCAGAUGCCGUAAGAAUAAAAACAAUGGCUAUGACGAAUAAGUAUAAAAAAACACUUUUACUAAUUGAAGAUCUUUUUAGAUUGAAAAUAAUAAAAGAUAGUAACAAUCAAAUAGAAGUUUGCUUAAUUCCAAAAAAUACGGAAAAUAAUAUGUGGCAUAGGUUGCACCUAGAUAAAAAUGAAAUUACAUCCGAUGCAUGUGAUUAUUUAUGGAAUCAAAUUGAAUCUUUUGUUGACAAGGGAGCUUUUGACACGUACUUUUGACACGUACUUUUAACAAAGAAGAAAAACAAAAAGAAAAACAAAAAGAAAAACAAAAAGAA
RNAcentral lists this long non-coding RNA (2987 nucleotides) under Piliocolobus tephrosceles (Ugandan red Colobus). RNAcentral's name for it is "lncRNA (ENSPTEG00000012671.1)". Lineage: Eukaryota; Metazoa; Chordata; Mammalia; Primates; Cercopithecidae. The record is from RNAcentral.